Xiphophorus couchianus (Monterrey platyfish) is the source of this 1122-nucleotide long non-coding RNA. RefSeq lists it as uncharacterized. Lineage: Eukaryota; Metazoa; Chordata; Actinopteri; Cyprinodontiformes; Poeciliidae. The record is from RefSeq and is a predicted model, not a curated record. The transcript is spliced from 7 exons.
GCUUGUGUGUGAGAGUUGGAGAAGCGCGUGAAGUAGAGACAAAAAACACACUACAAGAGAGCCAUGCUAUGUGAGCAGAGAAACAACACGGACGAAAUUAUAGAGAAGACGAAGAAAAGAGGGGAAUAAAGUUUAUGAAAACUAAAGCUGUUGGUGAAGAUCGGCGAGUGAACCGUGGACAUUAACGGAGCUGAAUAAGAGUUUGCUUACUGUCCGGCGGCUCAGUCUGAGUGGAUCUCCAGUAACGAGGCCUGCUGUGGUGCAUCACUGAUGAGGGCGUCGGAGUGCUGGAGGUUUAAAGACGGUUUCAUUUCUGCAGCUUGCUUUUUGAUAGCAUUCAUGACUCUCAGAGGGACGGAAAUCUGCGGGACAGAACAGGAAGCAGUGAGUCCUGUUGUCACGCCAACAGAGCGGACGUCGGAUCGAAGGGUAGACGUUGAUGACCGCCUGCAGCGCUUCACAUCCAGCUCCAUUUAAACACCGCCGGUAUUCUCACAGGGGAUCUCAGAGACACUUGGAAACCACAGAGUGGGUCCGACAGAGAAAACCGGUGAUUUGAAGGAGGAUAAAUCAUCGGAGAUUGGGAUGCAGUGCGAGUCAAACAGAUGGUCCCCAUAAAGCCCGGUGUAAACCCUCCAGAUGCUGAGAGGUAGUUGCAGAUCCUCUGACAUGCAGAGGAAUGGAGGUUCUGGUAACGCUUGAAUCAGUUUACUGAAAGAGGGAUCCUGGCCCACAGCAGCAUUCAACCUUCACCGUGCUGAACCACAGACUGAAGCUCUGCUUUGCUCUCCUGCAUCCAGGGAUCAUUUUCUAUGGGAGACUUCAGCUGCAUCAAGCAAGCAAAGUCCCACCGCUGCCUGCAGUAUGAUCCAAGGCUCACCGCACUUGAUCAAGUGGACCAGCCUGUCUCUUUUGGGGAUUACCCAUCAAAGUGCCAAGCGAUGGUAACUCGAUGCUUCUUGCAGACAGUGAUUGAUGAUAGUUCUGUUUCAUAACAAAUCGCGCCCCCACAAGAAGUCGCGCACAAGUGGGAAAUGUUAAUUGAAAUGCUUUGUGUGCAAAGGGUUGUGAUUUUUACCAAGGUGUUACAGCAAUAAACUGAAGGCAGACGUGGGGGGAAGA